Molecule: long non-coding RNA, 552 nt
Organism: Dermacentor andersoni
Lineage: Eukaryota; Metazoa; Arthropoda; Arachnida; Ixodida; Ixodidae
Source: RefSeq, a predicted model, not a curated record
AAGACUACAAAAUUAUAAUUCCUAAUUUUACAUUGUACUUUUCAUUACCAACUUUGUUGUUUUUUGUCAUUUUAAACGCAAAAUAGCGUUCAGCAUCAUCGACCUCCCACGUGACCUCUGGCCUGGAUUUAAAAUUUUUACCGGUAUGUUCGCGUGCGCGGCGGGUACGGAUUCCUUGGUUCGUACAUUGGUUGGUUAUUUUGUGCUAACACCAGUUUACUGCGCUGCGAUGUCUCGCGUUAUUUAAUUUGGGGUGUAAGCCUGAAAGCUAGGUUUCAGUCGUGAGCCAUGUGGAACACGUCUGCAUCGAAAUGGGAGCCGGGUCCUGCUGCAACUGGGGACAGCAAUACCGACAUGCAGUAAUGAGGAUGGCACCAGUAUAAAGCAACACACUCCAUGCACUAAACAGAAGCUGCUGCCUGCUACAACAAGGUCAUUGUGUGGACUUUGGCUGCUACUACAAGAGUCUGUGCCAAGUACAUCUUGGUCAUCACGGGAGCCCCCAUCUACACCAACAGGAAGGGGCUGGAGCUGAAUUCGCAAGACCACAAA